UGCGUAGGCGGCUUUUUAAGUCGGAUGUGAAAUCCCUGAGCUUAACUUAGGAAUUGCAUUCGAUACUGGGAAGCUAGAGUAUGGGAGAGGAUGGUAGAAUUCCAGGUGUAGCGGUGAAAUGCGUAGAGAUCUGGAGGAAUACCGAUGGCGAAGGCAGCCAUCUGGCCUAAUACUGACGCUGAGGAGCGAAAGCAUGGGGAGCGAACA
RNAcentral lists this ribosomal RNA (207 nucleotides) under uncultured bacterium. RNAcentral's name for it is "partial 16S ribosomal RNA". It matches the Rfam family "Bacterial small subunit ribosomal RNA", at positions 568 to 774 of the family's 1533-position model. The record is from RNAcentral.